RNAcentral lists this long non-coding RNA (824 nucleotides) under Cricetulus griseus (Chinese hamster). RNAcentral describes it as "lncRNA (ENSCGRG00000026218.1)". The record is from RNAcentral. Lineage: Eukaryota; Metazoa; Chordata; Mammalia; Rodentia; Cricetidae.
CAUGGGAUCCUUACUAUCUGGAGGUUUUGUUUUGUUUUUUCAUGGAUUUUACAUCUUUCCCCCAGUGUCCUCACAUCCAUAUACUGGGGAAGGGGAUGGAAUUAUGAAGAGAAAGGAGAGUUGGUAUAUGGCUCAUCAAGAAAAAGAUCAAGUCUCACCAGAAAUCUGAGGAACUACAGAGGCCUCUUGGGUCUGUUUCUGACAAAGUCUGACCCAAGGUGCCUUACUUCUCCUGAGCUAAUUCUAGAGGGAGUUGACAGAUUGCAGGCUCCUAAGUGGAGAAGGGGUGAAAGCAGAUAUUCUAUUUCUGCAGAAAUUUAUGAGAAGCGAAUCCCUGCAGUCAGCCAGCAUUUCCACUCGUGGGUUUUCAAAAGAUCAAAAACCGGAAAGGACCUGCAAAUUGGCAAAUCGCUAAGAGGAACCGCCCAGCGGGUCUGCGUCCUUGGGAUCUCAACAGCUGAGGACCCCACAUCCAAUCGACAACGGUGGGAAACCCCAGGGAAAGCAGGGUUCUUGCAGAGGCCUGGGGUUACUGAGUGCAGGCUGCAGGGAAGUACCUAGAGGGAGGGGGCCUGGUCCGGAGGACUUUCCAGCCACUCAGGGCUCAUCAAAAAGUUCCCUGUGCAUGACCCCAGUGGCUCAUCGCAGGGAGUUUCUCCAAUGAACCCCGGCCCUGGGUUUAGGCUUCUCAGUCGAGGACGAGCCAGUUCUUUUUCUAGUCUGACUGGCUUGGAAAUUCCCCGAGCCUGACCCCGCCCCUGAGAAAUCCCCUGCCAGCGUUUAUAGGGCGGCGCGGCGGCGCUGGCGAGCCCACAACAGUCGCA